GUGCUCUCUUCAGUAGCAUAUAUACUAAAAUUGGAACAAUACGGAGAGGAUUAGCAUGUCCCCUGAACCAGGAAGACAUGCAAAUUCAUGAGGUGUUCCAUAUUUUC
Small nuclear RNA from Perognathus longimembris pacificus (Pacific pocket mouse), 107 nucleotides. The record is from RefSeq and is a predicted model, not a curated record. Lineage: Eukaryota; Metazoa; Chordata; Mammalia; Rodentia; Heteromyidae.